Molecule: ribosomal RNA, 468 nt
Filed under: uncultured bacterium
Lineage: Bacteria
Description: partial 16S ribosomal RNA
Rfam family: Bacterial small subunit ribosomal RNA
Source: RNAcentral
GACGAACGCUGGCGGCGUGCUUAACACAUGCAAGUCGAACGGAAAGGCCCUGCUUUUGUGGGGUGCUCGAGUGGCGAACGGGUGAGUAACACGUGAGUAACCUGCCCUUGACUUUGGGAUAACUUCAGGAAACUGGGGCUAAUACCGGAUAGGAGCUCCUGCUGCAUGGUGGGGGUUGGAAAGUUUCGGCGGUUGGGGAUGGACUCGCGGCUUAUCAGCUUGUUGGUGGGGUAGUGGCUUACCAAGGCUUUGACGGGUAGCCGGCAUGGGAGGGUGACCGGCCACAUUGGGACUGAGAGACGGCCCAGACGCCUACGGGAGGCAGCAGUGGGGAAUAUUGCACAAUGGGCGGAAGCCUGAUGCAGAAGCGCCGCGUGCGGGAUGACGGCCUUCGGGUUGUAAACCGCUUUCGCCUGUGACGAAGCGUGAGUGACGGUAAUGGGUAAAGAAGCACCGGCUAACUACGUG